This 416-nucleotide unclassified non-coding RNA is filed under the name Hevea brasiliensis (rubber tree). The record is from RNAcentral. Lineage: Eukaryota; Viridiplantae; Streptophyta; Magnoliopsida; Malpighiales; Euphorbiaceae.
AGGUUGAAGAAAGAGUGAAAAUGGUUGCUGGAUGAGCCAGAGGAAAAAGAAACUGCUUUUUUAUACAUGAAACAACCUUUAUGAUAGGUCAUUACCAAUGCAGAAAUAUUUUGUCUAUUACUGACACCAGUAAAGGGACUCUGAAAAUCUGUUAAACAAUGGCUGUCAUGUUACCUUAUGUAAUGGCUAAUGGCUAUUAUUUGAAACCUUGGUAUUUUGUAAAUUGUCACUUUCUGCUUGAGAGAUACUAGCUGUUGUUUUACGCCUUAUACAUUCAAAUUAUAACUAGUGCAGACUCAAUUAUUUACUCAGCAUCUUGAUGAAUGUUUAUUUUGCCUUGUCUGCAAUCAUUCUUUGUGCUAUUUGAAAAAUUGAUGAUUCUUUAUAUUAAUCUGCUUUUCUAUGAUGGUUCACUA